AUGGGGAGACGCAAUCCGGCUAAUUGGGGCCUUGGCUUGCCUGUCCCCUGUAUGUUUUCCUGCGCUCGCUCUCGCCUGCUACCCCAGAAUCCGCCCGCGGUCCCAGGUAGUCCAGCCUCUCCGGCUAGCCUACUGCUCCCUCUGGGCCCCGCCCACCCCCUCGCACCCCUGCGAGCCUGGGCCAGGUGGUGGAGGCUGCAGCGGCGCCCUGCCGCUGAUUGGCUGUUGCGGUCGCGGGGCGGGGCCAGUGAGAGACUUUGGACCUCGGCGGUUUUCGCCAUCUUUCCCGCCAAGUCUUUUGUGAAGAGCGGGAGGCGUUCGGUGCCGUGCUGCCGCCGCCUUGGCACCUCGCAGUACCCUGCCUUCUCUCAGGUGGACAGUUGGGGUGAAGGCGAAGUCGACGACGAGGAGGGGUGCAACCAAGUGGCCCGCGACUUGCGGGCAAAGUUCUGGGCUGGGCCGUCGUCGGCGUCCAAGAGGGGUUCUCUGUUCCCGCCAGAUGGAGAUGGGUCGCUGGUGCAGCCAGAGAAGCGCAAUGGCGUCUUCGGGCUGCUGCGGGAAGCUGAACUCUGGCUCGGCGGUGGCCGGUUCAGGUCCUUUCUAUUCUGUGUUCGCUGCUGUUCGCCAUCCUCCUUGCCUUUCUGCUCGCCAUCGUCUACCUGGUCGUUAAAGAGUUGUAUGCUGAGAAUUUGAAAAGUGAAGAUGGCAUAGACACUGGGCUGUUAGGAUUCUGGACUCUGCUUAUAAUAUCCCUAACUGCUGGAUUCUCCUGUUGCAGCUUUCUUGGAUAGUGACUUAUUUUGAUUCUUUUGAACCAGGAAUGUUUCCUCCUACUCCUCUCGCACCUUCCAGGUUCAAGAAACUGACAGGACACUCCUUCCACAUGGGCUAUAGCCUGGCCAUUUUGAAUGGCAUUGUGGCUGCUCUUUCUGUAGCAUGGUGCCUCAUGGAAAUCCACACAGCAGAUUUCUGAACAGAAACCCUAUAUGCUGUGAGAGAAUGGAGAGAUACAUUUCAAGUCCUUAAGGAAAAUUUGCCAUCCCAGAAUAAUGUGCUCAGAGAAGCACACACAUUUAUAAAUGAAGCUGAAACAAAGUCCUUCCAAGACUAUGUAAAAUGGAAAGAAUUUGUCACCACUAUGCCAACCUUACAAAUGAUACCUAGGGAUGUGCUACACAGAAAUAGGGAAAGAUAACCAGCACAGUUAAAGAAUGUGAUGGCAGAAAAUGUCCUAGUAAUAGUUUGAAG
Oryctolagus cuniculus (rabbit) is the source of this 1248-nucleotide non-coding RNA. The record is from RefSeq and is a predicted model, not a curated record. NCBI's taxonomy places the organism in Eukaryota, Metazoa, Chordata, Mammalia, Lagomorpha, Leporidae.